RNAcentral lists this ribosomal RNA (1371 nucleotides) under uncultured bacterium. RNAcentral's name for it is "bacterial SSU rRNA". It matches the Rfam family "Bacterial small subunit ribosomal RNA", at positions 28 to 1380 of the family's 1533-position model. The record is from RNAcentral.
GAUGAACGCUGGCGGCGUGCCUAAUACAUGCAAGUCGAGCGAACGGACGAGAAGCUUGCUUCUCUGAUGUUAGCGGCGGACGGGUGAGUAACACGUGGAUAACCUACCUAUAAGACUGGGAUAACUUCGGGAAACCGGAGCUAAUACCGGAUAAUAUUUUGAACCGCAUGGUUCAAAAGUGAAAGACGGUCUUGCUGUCACUUAUAGAUGGAUCCGCGCUGCAUUAGCUAGUUGGUAAGGUAACGGCUUACCAAGGCAACGAUGCGUAGCCGACCUGAGAGGGUGAUCGGCCACACUGGAACUGAGACACGGUCCAGACUCCUACGGGAGGCAGCAGUAGGGAAUCUUCCGCAAUGGGCGAAAGCCUGACGGAGCAACGCCGCGUGAGUGAUGAAGGUCUUCGGAUCGUAAAACUCUGUUAUUAGGGAAGGACAAAUGUGUAAGUAACUAUGCACGUCUUGACGGUACCUAAUCAGAAAGCCACGGCUAACUACGUGCCAGCAGCCGCGGUAAUACGUAGGUGGCAAGCGUUAUCCGGAAUUAUUGGGCGUAAAGCGCGCGUAGGCGGUUUUUUAAGUCUGAUGUGAAAGCCCACGGCUCAACCGUGGAGGGUCAUUGGAAACUGGAAAACUUGAGUGCAGAAGAGGAAAGUGGAAUUCCAUGUGUAGCGGUGAAAUGCGCAGAGAUAUGGAGGAACACCAGUGGCGGAGGCGACUUUCUGGUCUGUAACUGACGCUGAUGUGCGAAAGCGUGGGGAUCAAACAGGAUUAGAUACCCUGGUAGUCCACGCCGUAAACGAUGAGUGCUAAGUGUUAGGGGGUUUCCGCCCCUUAGUGCUGCAGCUAACGCAUUAAGCACUCCGCCUGGGGAGUACGACCGCAAGGUUGAAACUCAAAGGAAUUGACGGGGACCCGCACAAGCGGUGGAGCAUGUGGUUUAAUUCGAAGCAACGCGAAGAACCUUACCAAAUCUUGACAUCCUCUGACCCCUCUAGAGAUAGAGUUUUCCCCUUCGGGGGACAGAGUGACAGGUGGUGCAUGGUUGUCGUCAGCUCGUGUCGUGAGAUGUUGGGUUAAGUCCCGCAACGAGCGCAACCCUUAAGCUUAGUUGCCAUCAUUAAGUUGGGCACUCUAAGUUGACUGCCGGUGACAAACCGGAGGAAGGUGGGGAUGACGUCAAAUCAUCAUGCCCCUUAUGAUUUGGGCUACACACGUGCUACAAUGGACAAUACAAAGGGUAGCGAAACCGCGAGGUCAAGCAAAUCCCAUAAAGUUGUUCUCAGUUCGGAUUGUAGUCUGCAACUCGACUAUAUGAAGCUGGAAUCGCUAGUAAUCGUAGAUCAGCAUGCUACGGUGAAUACGUUCCCGGGUC